UACGGGAGGCAGCAGUGGGGAAUAUUGCACAAUGGGCGAAAGCCUGAUGCAGCUAUGCCGCGUGUAUGAAGAAGGCCUUAGGGUUGUAAAGUACUUUCAUCGGGGAGGAAAAAACAAAACUAAUAAUUUUAUUUCUUGACGUUACCCGAAAAAGAAGCACCGGCUAACUCCGUGCCAGCAGCCGCGGUAAUACGGAGGGUGCUAGCGUUAAUCAGAAUUACUGGGCGUAAAGAGCACGUAGGUGGUUUUUUAAGUCAGAUGUGAAAUCCCUGGGCUUAACCUAGGAACUGCAUUUUGAAACUGAAAUACUAGAGUAUCGUAGAGGGAGGUAGAAUUCUAGGUGUAGCGGUGAAAUGCGUAGAUAUCUGGAGGAAUACCUGUGGCGAAAGCGGCCUCCUAAACGAACACUGACACUGAGGUGCGAAAGCGUGGGGAGCGAAACAGGGAUUUAGAUACC
This 457-nucleotide ribosomal RNA is filed under the name uncultured bacterium. Its description in RNAcentral is "bacterial SSU rRNA". It matches the Rfam family "Bacterial small subunit ribosomal RNA", at positions 340 to 786 of the family's 1533-position model. The record is from RNAcentral.